This 402-nucleotide ribosomal RNA is filed under the name Senometopia cariniforceps. Its description in RNAcentral is "partial 16S rRNA". Lineage: Eukaryota; Metazoa; Arthropoda; Insecta; Diptera; Tachinidae. The record is from RNAcentral.
GGCCGCAGUAUACUAACUGUGCAAAGGUAGCAUAAUCAUUAGUCUUUUAAUUGGAGGCUGGUAUGAAUGGUUGGACGAAAUAUUAACUGUUUCAUAAAAAUUUAUAAUAAAAUUUAAUUUUUUAGUUAAAAAGCUAAAAUUUAUUUUAAAGACGAGAAGACCCUAUAAAUCUUUAUAUUUAAAUUAUUAUAAUUUUUAAGAAUUUUUUUUUUAUUAUAAUUAAUAAUAUUUUAUUGGGGUGAUAUUAAAAUUUAAUAAACUUUUAAAAUUUUUUUUACCAUUAAUUUAUGAAUUAUUGAUCCAUUAUUAAUGAUUAAAAAAAUAAGUUACUUUAGGGAUAACAGCGUAAUUUUUUUGGAGAGUUCAUAUUAAUAAAAAAGAUUGCGACCUCGAUGUUGGAUU